AUUUUUAUGCUUUUUUUUCCAUGCUAUCAUUUGAUGUUUUAAGAGAUAGUGGAUGGGUGCAGUUAGAGCAUCUCCAUCCGGAGUUUCUGAUCCAGAAACUGUUUAUUAAAACAGAAUAAAAAAUUCGAAAAAGAUGGAGAGAAAGUAAAAACGUUUCUCACUUGAAAAACUCAGAGAAACCCAUUUUGCUUUUGUUUUGUUUUGAUUGGUUCAAAUAAUAAUUAAAAA
Molecule: small RNA, 228 nt
Filed under: Arabidopsis thaliana (thale cress)
Lineage: Eukaryota; Viridiplantae; Streptophyta; Magnoliopsida; Brassicales; Brassicaceae
Description: ATSL015800
Source: RNAcentral